Molecule: ribosomal RNA, 581 nt
Filed under: uncultured bacterium
Lineage: Bacteria
Description: partial 16S ribosomal RNA
Rfam family: Bacterial small subunit ribosomal RNA
Source: RNAcentral
UAAGGAAUAUUGGUCAAUGGACGAAAGUCUGAACCAGCCAUGCCGCGUGGAGGAUGAAGGUCCUCUGGAUUGUAAACUUCUUUUAUCUGGGACGAAAAAAGGUCUUUCUAGAUCGUCUGACGGUACCAGAUGAAUAAGCACCGGCUAACUCCGUGCCAGCAGCCGCGGUAAUACGGAGGGUGCAAGCGUUAUCCGGAUUCACUGGGUUUAAAGGGUGCGUAGGUGGGUUGGUAAGUCAGUGGUGAAAUCUUCGAGCUUAACUCGGAAACUGCCAUUGAUACUAUCAGUCUUGAAUAUUGUGGAGGUUAGCGGAAUAUGUCAUGUAGCGGUGAAAUGCUUAGAUAUGACAUAGAACACCAAUUGCGAAGGCAGCUGGCUACACAUAUAUUGACACUGAGGCACGAAAGCGUGGGGAUCAAACAGGAUUAGGUACCCUGGUAGUCCACGCCCUAAACUAUGGAUACUCGACAUACGCGAUACACUGUGUGUGUCUGAGCGAAAGCAUUAAGUAUCCCCACCUGGGGAAGUACGAUCGCAAGAUUGAAACUCAAAGGAAUGACGGGGUCAUAGCUAUUUGCCUG